Long non-coding RNA from Homo sapiens (human), 2890 nucleotides. RefSeq lists it as uncharacterized. Lineage: Eukaryota; Metazoa; Chordata; Mammalia; Primates; Hominidae. The transcript has 4 exons. The record is from RefSeq and is a predicted model, not a curated record.
GGCAAUUCAUUUGGGUCCCCUUGCCGUUCUGUGGGAGGUUUGUUCUUUUGCUCUUUGCAAUAACUUGCUGCUGCUUACUUUUUGGGUCCACACUGCUUUUAUGGGCUGUAACACUCACGACGAAGGUCUGCAGCUUCACUUCUGAAGCCAGCGAGACCACGAACCCACCGGGAGAGAACGAACAACUCCAGACGCACCGCCUUAAAAGCUGUAACACUCCCCGAGAGGGUCCGCGGCUUCAUUCUUGAAGUCAGUGAGACCAAGAACCCACCAAUUCCGGACACGAUAGUGCUGCCAAACCAGCCUGGAAAACGCGGCCUUCUGGACUUCUUGUACCGUGCGACUCCAGUCCCUGACCCCACCAGGAAAAGGCAGAGGCACCUGAUUUCCCCGCACCUGUGGAGCUGCAGGGGGUGUCUGGGUCUCCAACUCCAGUGGGGAAUGAUGUUCAACUUCCUGUUACACUGGGAUCCACCUGUGGGUGAGAAUGAAGGGCUUGGAGCCUUGACCCUGGAUGGAGACAUGUCUUCCCUUUCACAGGAGAUCAUAAAACCAGAGCUGACAGCAAAGAUGGUCCUUCCUGAGAACUUUGGCUCCCAGGUGUCUGAGACUGCAGGAAAGUUAACCAGCAAUAGCGUUGGGGCUAGGGAAGGGCAAAGCUCUCGGAGACCUUGAGAGUGAAGCUUGGAAGUCCCCACCUUCAUUCGAGCCUCUGGCUCAGGCUGGGAGAGAAGAUGGAGUCGGUCCUGGAAGGUUCGGUGGUGAAAGAGGAUGACAGGACAUUUCCAAAUCAUCAUAGGAAAGUGCUUUGUCUUUUUCCAGUGCACUUCCCACCAUCUGACAUAGUUUGCGUGUCACACAUGGCCUUCGGUUGGAUUCUUCUGGAAGCUGACUCUGAGAGUGGGCAUGACUCAGUUCACCUGGAGAAGUCCCCAGGAAGCUCGGGCAAGACGGUGGGGAGGGAAAUGGGAAGGAAAAAAUGCCCUUUCUGGUGGGAUAAGUAGGAGGUGCCCACGGUGGGCUGCUGGUGCUCAGCUGCACUGGAGACCUCAUGGAGACGCUUAGGAGCAGCAUCAGAGGACUGCACUGGAGAGGCGGGGAAGCCAGGUCUGCUCCCCGCCAGCUUCCGUUCACCCAGGGCAGCUUCCCAGGACUCCACUCCCAGGCCACACAGGCUCCUGCAGCCUGAGGAGGAGCCGCAGGAGAGCAGGGGCAGCAAGAAGCCAUCGCAGGGCAAAGACUCUGAGGCCUGCGGGACCCAGGCGGCACCACCAGCUUCUGCUUUGUGCACUGUCUUGGGCUGUCACCUGCUUGUCCUCUGUCCCUCUGUGGGUCGUGAGCUCCCUGAAGCCAGGGGUCUUUGUUUUGUUCUUUGCUGUGGCCAGAGACUACAAUCGUUCCUGGUGCACAGUCGGCCCUGCUUAAAUAUGCACUGAGUGAGUGACGCCUCCUGGGUCCACCUCUGCAGCCUUCUGAAGUGAAUAUUUGGCAUCUCUAAAGAACCCAGAUCCCAGGCAAAGUCACCCCUAAUUUGGCUGUUGCAGACUCCACCUCCUGCUGCUUCUGGGCUGACUCUGAAGCCUGUUGCUACUGUCUGCAGCCAAGUUGGCUUUUCCAACAGCAGCAGCAAUGGAGAGGGGCUCAGACUACUGAUAAAAGCUCCCUUUACACCAGGUGCUUUUCCAAUGCUUCUACAGCGCCUUUUGAUGUUGCAGUCACGAAUCCUGAUGGCAGAGUGACGAUAGUGGUCCCUAUUUCGUCCGAUGUCUCACUUGAUAGGACGACCAAGAGUCCACAAAUCGUUCCUGAGUAUACCUCUAACAACAGAUUUUUUCCUAAACGGUUCCACCUGGUUUGAUCAGGAAGAAGAAACAACAGAUACGUGUAUUUUCAUUUCUUCCUUCAGUGGAGGAGUCACAGUUGUUUUGGAAGCUGUCCAAGUGCCAGAGACCCCGGACACAGAUUCCUGAGCAUCCUUCCCAUCCUUCCCAUCCUUGAAGGCAAAUCAUCCAUCUCUGUAUCUGUAACUCCAGCACAGGUCUGGACGGGGCAGAGCUCAAAGCAAGGAGUGUCUGUGGACCAGUGUCUGUACCACCCAGGUGAAGUGAGACGAGCCUGUGUCGCUGGCCUGCAGAAGGGCCACAGUCUGCCCGAGUCUGCUUCUUCCCUGGGGAGGUGCAGGCCGAAUGCCGUGGCCAGGAUUGCUACAGAGGGAGGCUCUGCCCAGCUCAUUACAGCCGGAGUGAGGCUUGAGAUGUCUGUUCACUGCUCGUGUUGAGCUUGAGCACUUGGUUAAAGUGCUGGCCAUCAGAUUUCUCUAUUGCAAAGGAUCAUUUUUCCCUUGUGUAAUUGCCAAGCAACAUAUGCGGUGAUGCUUUGGGACCUUAUGGAUAUCCUGUUCUUCAAAAUCUGUCCCCCAAUGGUUUUGGCAUCCACAGAUGGUCCUCAAAUGAGUCAAUUGUAACAUUUUCAAAUUCCGUCAUUCUUCAUAUAUAUCAGCUGCUGUUAUUCUGUAAAGAAUUCUUCCUGGCUCCAAUCAGCUUUUUUUAGUAUCACUAUGAACUCAUAGAUCCUUUUUUAAAAAAUUCAGUGUGUUCAUUCUUGCUCCCAUAUAUUUUUGAUGCUCAAAUACUUCUACAUUUGUCCAUUGAAAGUCCUCUGACUAUAGCUUCUGUUUCCUUUUGACCAAUUUCCAUCAUCUUUUGAGCACUUCUUGGCUUUCUGGUACAAUACGACUGGCUGGAAUCUUCAAAGAAGUCAACAUCCCAAGAGAUGAAAUGAUGGACUCGCUGCUUGACAUUGCAGGGAAUGAAAGAAUCAUGUCAAGCCAUGCAGUGUGGUCCUAGAUUGGAUGCUAAAUUGAAAAUAAAAGCUCUCACUUUGGACUGUA